ACGCGUCAUAACCAACUUGGUCUACCUUUCGCAGGAACAGGACAAAAGCGCUGCCAGCAUAUUGCAAGGGUCCCGGAACAUAUCUGCCUUCGUGCAUUUCCAAUCUUGAAGAAAAGCCAGUACUUCAAGUGCAACAGGACUCACCCCUGCCAUCUGUUUUCGCUGACCGGAGGCUAUUCCUGGGCUUAUCGGCUUCAUCGAGGGGGCGGCAUUCCUGUGUGCCGCAUUCACUUUGGCAGCAGCAGCGGCGGCGUACAAACUCGUCAUAACCAACUUGAUCUACCUUUAGCAGGUUGGUGGUAAUUCCGUUCCUACUUGCGGAAAUAUUACGCCGCGCCGUCGCUGUUGCUGCAACGAGUGCAACGAGCCUAUUGCCUGCUUGUUGCCUAAUUUGUGUUCAAGGAUACGUUCGGUUCGGUUCCUGGCAAAACAAGUGUCAUUUCUGGGGCACCGCAUCGCCGCAAAAGAUCUCGACACCAUACUUGCAUCACCCGCACCAACAUCGACUCGAAUGGUGAUGCUUAAGAAGGAAGUUCAGGGAAGAAGAAAAUGCGUGUCAAGAGUAGACGCAACAAACCGAAGACCAAAACUCUUACAAAUUGGUAACAGCGUAUAUCUCGUGUGGCAGCAAGGGAAGUGA
Dermacentor albipictus is the source of this 640-nucleotide long non-coding RNA. RefSeq lists it as uncharacterized. Lineage: Eukaryota; Metazoa; Arthropoda; Arachnida; Ixodida; Ixodidae. The record is from RefSeq and is a predicted model, not a curated record.